This 229-nucleotide ribosomal RNA is filed under the name uncultured bacterium. Its description in RNAcentral is "partial 16S ribosomal RNA". It matches the Rfam family "Bacterial small subunit ribosomal RNA", at positions 568 to 796 of the family's 1533-position model. The record is from RNAcentral.
UCCGUAGGCGGGCGUCUAAGUCAGUGGUGAAAUCUUACAGCUCAACUGUAAAAUUGCCAUUGAUAAUGGAUGUCUUGAAUUAGUGUGAAGUGGUUAGAAUGUGUAGUGUAGCGGUGAAAUGCAUAGAUAUUACACAGAAUAACAAUUGCGAAGGCAGAUCACUAACACUAUAUUGACGCUGAGGGACGAAAGCGUGGGGAGCGAACAGGAUUAGAUACCCUGGUAGUCC